UGCCCAGGGAUGGGAAUCGAACCCACAGUGUUCCGCUUACCGGGCAGAUGCCAUGUCCACUAGGCUACCCUGGAC
This 75-nucleotide transfer RNA is filed under the name Cordylochernes scorpioides. Its description in RNAcentral is "tRNA-Thr". The record is from RNAcentral. Lineage: Eukaryota; Metazoa; Arthropoda; Arachnida; Pseudoscorpiones; Chernetidae.